AGUGAACGCUGGCGGUAGACCUAACACAUGCAAGUCGAACGGCAGCACAGUAAGAGCUUGCUCUUACGGGUGGCGAGUGGCGGACGGGUGAGGAAUACAUCGGAAUCUACUUUUUCGUGGGGGAUAACGUAGGGAAACUUACGCUAAUACCGCAUACGACCUACGGGUGAAAGCAGGGGAUCUUCGGAUCUUGCGCGAUUGAAUGAGCCGAUGUCGGAUUAGCUAGUUGGCGGGGUAAAGGCCCACCAAGGCGACGAUCCGUAGCUGGUCUGAGAGGAUGAUCAGCCACACUGGAACUGAGACACGGUCCAGACUCCUACGGGAGGCAGCAGUGGGGAAUAUUGGACAAUGGGCGCAAGCCUGAUCCAGCCAUACCGCGUGGGUGAAGAAGGCCUUCGGGUUGUAAAGCCCUUUUGUUGGGAAAGAAAAGCAGCAGGUUAAUACCCCGCUGUUCUGACGGUACCCAAAGAAUAAGCACCGGCUAACUUCGU
Molecule: ribosomal RNA, 491 nt
Filed under: uncultured bacterium
Lineage: Bacteria
Description: partial 16S ribosomal RNA
Rfam family: Bacterial small subunit ribosomal RNA
Source: RNAcentral